AGUAUGGUCACAAGGCUGAAACUUAAAGGAAUUGACGGAAGGGCACACCAGGAGUGGAGCCUGCGGCUUAAUUUGACUCAACACGGGAAAACUUACCAAGACCGAACAGUAGAAGGAAUGACUGAUUAAGAGUUCUUUCAUGAUUUAUUGGGUAGUGGUGCAUGGCCGUUCUUAGUUGGUGGAGUGAUUUGUCUGGUUAAUUCCGGUAACGAACGAGACUGAAACCUAUUAAUUAGUUUCCUGCCUAUACGACAGGAAUCUCCGCAAGGUCAGGUGCCUCGGUACCACUUCUUAAAGGGACACAUUUCAAUUGUCUCAUUUUAAUCGAUGUCUCUGGCUCCGGUCAGAACUCUUUUAACGUGAGAAAAAGAAAAAGGAAGCAUUCAGCAAUAACAGGUCUGUGAUGCCCUUAGACAUCUUGGGCCGCACGCGCGCUACAAUGGAGUUACUAGAGAGUAUUUUAUCAUCCAAGCCUUAUAU
Molecule: ribosomal RNA, 480 nt
Filed under: Entamoeba moshkovskii
Lineage: Eukaryota; Evosea; Mastigamoebida; Endamoebidae
Description: SSU rRNA
Rfam family: Eukaryotic small subunit ribosomal RNA
Source: RNAcentral